CCGUCACAACGGCUUCCUGACGUGACGGUAGACAUCAAUGGAGCA
Molecule: non-coding RNA, 45 nt
Filed under: unclassified sequences
Description: SAM-SAH-Weickhmann-2018 RNA
Rfam family: SAM/SAH riboswitch aptamer
Source: RNAcentral